RNAcentral lists this long non-coding RNA (1132 nucleotides) under Salmo salar (Atlantic salmon). RNAcentral describes it as "lncRNA (ENSSSAG00000119837.1, ENSSSAG00075019125.1)". Lineage: Eukaryota; Metazoa; Chordata; Actinopteri; Salmoniformes; Salmonidae. The record is from RNAcentral.
CUAAAUUUUGAAAUGGUUUCAACAGUAACCGUAUGUUGUUAUGCUCUUUGACAUUUGUCGUAGAGAUAAGGUUAUUAAGAAAAUUGGGAAUGUAAUAAUUUGUCAUAUAGUCAAUGCUUGUCUGGAUUUCCUGAAUCAGAAACGAAUUGAACUAAACUUUUGUUCUAUCUGUCCUCUCUUGAGGUUAUCAUGGAAGGUGAUGUCAGAUUGUGUCUUAAUGCAUGGUAGGAAUAAUUUGACCACAAACAGUGUGUGUGAGCCUCAAAACCCUCCCUAACCGGCUGAAGAAAGAGCGACAGAGGCGUUCAAUGCGAUAGUAACAACACUCCUGUCUGAGUCCGACUCAUUAACCUGGGUACGGGCGGAAGGACUGCGCCAUGAGUCCUGAGACCGCGCAUGUGGAGUGAGCAUGGAGAGAUAACAUUCAAACUUCCCUCAAGCUCCUGGUGUACUGGUGGGAGAAAUGGACCAGACAGAAUGGUGGUAGCAGCUCAGUGUGUAUAUUCCCAGGUGAAAGCGGCACAUGAGGAGCAGGAGAUAACCGAGAGAACGGGCUGAAUUCUGGAGAUUGAGUGUACAUCAAGAUACACCUGGAGGGGGUGUUGGGACAGCGUUGGUCUGGUCUACACACAGUACUCCUUACAGCACCUGCAGUGGUAAAGAUCGUCUCUCCUCGGUGGGUUCACCCUUCUCACGUGAAGUGAGGUCCAGCUGCAUAAUGGGUGAGCUUGAAGACGCAGUGACAGAGGAAGCGGAGCUAAAGAGAGAGAGAAAGAGUAGAUUCCACUAUAGACAUGCAGAUGGGUUGGGUCUUGGAGCUACUUUAACCACCAUAGUUGGGUUGGGUUAGUUGCUUUAUUGGUUAAUGCAUCAGAUGAAAGGAUAGAUGUUGGGGUAAUUGUACUCUGGACAACAUUCUGGAGGCAUUGAUGUGAAAGCAUAUACAGUGCUGGGUUACCUCAAGAGGAUGUAGCGUUGAUUAGGGAUACGCAUUCGCCUAUCAGGUGACGUGCCUAUCAGGUGGCAAUGGAGGAGGAAAGAGAUGAGGAACAAAGUGAAAAUGACAUGGCUUGGGAACACCUCUUGGAUCCUGUGGUCUGACGGGGAAGACUGGGCGAAAGCAUGAGGAGGG